CGGAAGAAAUGGAAUGAUGUGGGAUUAAUCCAAAGGAAUCAAGCCGGAAGAGGAUGGGUUGUGUCAUGGGUGUUUGAUACAGGGAAUGUGAUCCUAUUCAGUUGGUUGGAACGUGUGGGAAGGGAAUUAAGUGACUGAGAUGUGACGCAGGGAAAUUUUGUUGAGCCAAAUGCGGGAAAGAAACAAGGGAGUUGGGAUGAAUCUGAAAGGGUCUUGAUUUGCGGGGCUGCAUGCGAUUUGGGUUCAGAAUGAAUUUGACUUGACCUGCAUACAUUAGAUUCAACCAAUAAAAAUAAAAAAAAUCAAACUUGAAUUAUUUUUA
This 322-nucleotide long non-coding RNA is filed under the name Phoenix dactylifera (date palm). Its description in RNAcentral is "long non-coding RNA (PDAC_LNC020791)". The record is from RNAcentral. Lineage: Eukaryota; Viridiplantae; Streptophyta; Magnoliopsida; Arecales; Arecaceae.